Long non-coding RNA from Biomphalaria glabrata, 1168 nucleotides. RefSeq lists it as uncharacterized. Lineage: Eukaryota; Metazoa; Mollusca; Gastropoda; Planorbidae. The record is from RefSeq and is a predicted model, not a curated record. The transcript is spliced from 2 exons.
AGCGACGGUUUGAAGGCAUCUACUGCAUUCAAUCUUCGACGUUUACUGUCCCAUACCAAAACAAUGAAAUGGUCAUAACAGCGCCUCUCCACGCCCAUGAUUGUGCCCCACUUGUCGGUGCGUAGGCGGCUAUGAUAUUCUAGCACCAAUGUUUAUCAGGUGCACAAUUUGUGAACGCACUUUCUUUGUUGCCUUGCUUUUAGGCUUAUGGAGGUUUUUUUUGUUAUGUUGCUAGUGUAACUUUUCUUUCGUCUGUGUACCCCUGUUUAAGGGGCGUGUUUAGAGAUAGUGACACCCGGUGCGGUCCGCACACCUCCUGCACCCCAAAAGGAUCGCCACUGAAGCAAACGCCUGAAACUGAUUAUAGUGAUGACACACUCAUUUUCCUAUAUAUAACUGCAGGUGUGAGGAUGGAGGUCGGGUUUGUCAAUCACUGGCGCCCAGGUUCUUCUGUCAUGUGUUGGUUCCACAGGUAGAGAAGCUAGCUACCUGGAUAGAAUAUCAUCCAUCAUCUGAAGGAAGAAGAUGACGGCUUGAACACCUAAUGUAUUCCAGUCAGCCAUGCUCACCCGUAGUCAGUCAUCACUCUAUAUCAGCUACCAUCUUCACUAUUAUCUACUUAAUUCAAUAGCAAGUGGGCACGGAUAAGUAGAUCCUUUAUUCAGGGGAGGUAGCUCAUGGCUAGUACCUUUUGAAACUGACAAAGAAAUUUUCUCCCCUUUUUUAAAAAAUAAUUCCACAGGAAUGAAGAAUGAGGAUAAAUGACCUGUGGUAUUGUUCAAGGCUAAACAAAAUUAUAAACUUCCUCUUCAUCAUACUUUUUAAAUUUUGGUAAACAAGACUAUGAAUAUUUUUAAAUUGUCAAUCAAAAGCAAUAUUCUUUUAAUUGUAUGUGUUAGCAUAACCUUUUUAAUGACUUUUGUAACACUCGAAACAUAAAGACAAAUCAACACAAGAACUUUUUUGUUUCUUUGGCAAUUAAGUCAUUGAGCAAUAUGUGACUCACUGUUGUAAAUUUCACAUGUAAUGUCCAAGAGAAACUGAGGUAUGGACGUAUAUUUUGUGUGCUAUUGUACAAUUGUUUGCUCUAGUUAUGUAUUGUUUUUUUUUUAAUACACAAUUGUAAAGCAAAUUUCCUCACGGAUAAUAAAGAUUAUUAUUCUUUUCA